GGAAGGACCAACGAUGACUAUAUAUGGUAAUGACAUUUGAUGUAAAUACUCUAGUAAAGAAUGGAUAGUUUAAUAUGUAGGCUGAGAGUGAUUGUGGUGAUGUCACCUCAGCAUGACACCCUUGUAAAUAACUUACACAUUGAAGGUUUCUUUUUUAAAAAUGUUCCUCCAUUAAUAAGAAAGAGAUUAUUUUACUAGAUGCCAAGUUUCACAAACUGUUUACAAUUAAUAUAAAUAUAAAGUAUAUUUUAU
RNAcentral lists this long non-coding RNA (252 nucleotides) under Brassica napus (rape). RNAcentral's name for it is "long non-coding RNA (BNAP_LNC015351)". The record is from RNAcentral. Lineage: Eukaryota; Viridiplantae; Streptophyta; Magnoliopsida; Brassicales; Brassicaceae.